AACCUGCCCAUAAGACUGGGAUAACUCCGGGAAACCGGGGCUAAUACCGGAUAACAUUUUGAACUGCAUGGUUCGAAAUUGAAAGGCGGCUUCGGCUGUCACUUAUGGAUGGACCCGCGUCGCAUUAGCUAGUUGGUGAGGUAACGGCUCACCAAGGCAACGAUGCGUAGCCGACCUGAGAGGGUGAUCGGCCACACUGGGACUGAGACACGGCCCAGACUCCUACGGGAGGCAGCAGUAGGGAAUCUUCCGCAAUGGACGAAAGUCUGACGGAGCAACGCCGCGUGAGUGAUGAAGGCUUUCGGGUCGUAAAACUCUGUUGUUAGGGAAGAACAAGUGCUAGUUGAAUAAGCUGGCACCUUGACGGUACCUAACCAGAAAGCCACGGCUAACUACGUGCCAGCAGCCGCGGUAAUACGUAGGUGGCAAGCGUUAUCCGGAAUUAUUGGGCGUAAAGCGCGCGCAGGUGGUUUCUUAAGUCUGAUGUGAAAGCCCACGGCUCAACCGUGGAGGGUCAUUGGAAACUGGGAGACUUGAGUGCAGAAGAGGAAAGUGGAAUUCCAUGUGUAGCGGUGAAAUGCGUAGAGAUAUGGAGGAACACCAGUGGCGAAGGCGACUUUCUGGUCUGUAACUGACACUGAGGCGCGAAAGCGUGGGGAGCAAACAGGAUUAGAUACCCUGGUAGUCCACGCCGUAAACGAUGAGUGCUAAGUGUUAGAGGGUUUCCGCCCUUUAGUGCUGAAGUUAACGCAUUAAGCACUCCGCCUGGGGAGUACGGCCGCAAGGCUGAAACUCAAAGGAAUUUGACGGGGGCCCGCACAAGCGGUGGAGCAUGUGGUUUAAUUUGAAGCAACGCGAAGAACCUUACCAGGUCUUGACAUCCUUUGAAAACCCUAGAGAUAGGGCUUUUCCUUCGGGAGCAGAGUGACAGGUGGUGCAUGGUUGUUGUCAGCUCGUGUCGUGAGAUGUUGGGUUAAGUCCCGCAACGAGCGCAACCCUUGAUCUUAGUUGCCAUCAUUAAGUUGGGCACUUUAAGGUGACUGCCGGUGACAAACCGGAGGAAGGUGGGGAUGACGUCAAAUCAUCAUGCCCCUUAUGACCUGGGCUACACACGUGGUACAAUGGACGGUACAAAGAGCUGCAAGACCGCGAGGUGGAGCUAAUUUCAUAAAACCGUUUUCAGUUUGGAUUGUAGGCUGCAACUCGCCUACAUGAAGCUGGAAUCGCUAGUAAUCGCGGAUCAGCAUGCCGCGGUGAAUACGUUUCCGGGCCUUGUACA
Molecule: ribosomal RNA, 1279 nt
Filed under: Bacillus thuringiensis
Lineage: Bacteria; Bacillati; Bacillota; Bacilli; Caryophanales; Bacillaceae
Description: bacterial SSU rRNA
Rfam family: Bacterial small subunit ribosomal RNA
Source: RNAcentral